This is an RNA transcript of Dromaius novaehollandiae (emu), 448 nucleotides long. RefSeq lists it as uncharacterized. The transcript is spliced from 3 exons. Lineage: Eukaryota; Metazoa; Chordata; Aves; Casuariiformes; Dromaiidae. The record is from RefSeq and is a predicted model, not a curated record.
ACAGUUUGAAGAUGUUCAUGGUCGCACCAAAAUCUCCGUUACGGGAGCGGCAGUUUGGCUUUGCUCGAGCUAAACCGAAUUCACCCCGACGUCUGCGCAACUAGGGCUGGCGACGCAGCGGCUGUUGACAGAGGCCCCUUGGCAGCUGCCCCGAAAGCGAUGUUCAGUAAUGGGCAAUUGUCUUUUUUUAAAAACAGUCAUUUAUGUUAGGCAGCCGAAAGCGUCACUUGCUCUGCUAAAUGCAAGGAACAGAGUUAUGCUGAGAAUGUUUGAGCAGAUAAUAGCCAUAUUCAAAACUUCGGGCCAGAUGUCUUCAAAAUCAUACUAUAAGUCAAAUUAGUUAAAGCAUAAACAAACAUUUGUGACUGACGUAGCUACUUCAAGUAGGCUAAUGCCCCAGUCAGCGUUACUCACUUUGGAAAAGACUGAGAGGAAGCAGAAUCAAAAU